RNAcentral lists this long non-coding RNA (253 nucleotides) under Panax ginseng (ginseng). RNAcentral describes it as "long non-coding RNA (PGIN_LNC003957)". Lineage: Eukaryota; Viridiplantae; Streptophyta; Magnoliopsida; Apiales; Araliaceae. The record is from RNAcentral.
GGAAUUGGGACAAAAGUUUCUUGGAUCGACGUUUGGGUUGGCUAGAUUCGCGUUUUCGGCUUGCCAUUUAUAUAAUAGUCACUUCAGAGCCAAUUUGAGUAUAGCUUCGGAUCUUAUUUCGAAAACCUUAAAGAAUGAAAGUUGUAGAUCUACUUCUCCUAUUUCCGGAUCAUCUUGAAUCAUCGAAAUCGGAGUUCGGACGAAGAAGUUAUGGCCAUUUUCCCAAAGGACGUCGGAGCAGAAAAUGUCAGAA